AUCACUUAGAAAGAAAAUGAAAUGAAUGAAAUCUGUGCUUUGCGAUCCUCGCAGGGCUAAUGAGAGGCUGGCAGCAGUGAGCACUGAGCUUCAGCUGGAGAAGCAGCACAAGAGUUCUCUCCUCGGCUCUGUUCCCACAAGGCCUGUUGACGGACCGCCUUCUGAUGAAAGUUCUAGUAGUAGCGUAGAGACCGAAAGGAGUCUUACUCGAAGAAGGAACUUCAGGAAUUUUUCAGAUCCUUCAACUAGCAUAAGCGAUCUGUUCAGGCUACUACUGAACUUGAAUCUUAAGUCCUACAGAGUCUCUCGUAGCCUUGAUGGAUGAGUCAAGUCCAAGUCCAGAUCUGGAUUCAAAAGCACGUGAAGAAUAUGUGGAGAUUUGGAAGAAUAAGUGUAUGAUCUGCAAGAUAAAUAGUAAACAUUUACCUGCUGGGCUGUUUGCCUAACAUUGUAUUUACUUCCCGUUAUGUAAGAUACUGGCACUGUUUAUUAAGGGAAAAUACUCUUGCAUUCUGUGUGCGUGAUUAAAUUUGAUGUAGUAUUUUAAACCA
Molecule: non-coding RNA, 551 nt
Organism: Vicugna pacos (alpaca)
Lineage: Eukaryota; Metazoa; Chordata; Mammalia; Artiodactyla; Camelidae
Source: RefSeq, a predicted model, not a curated record